GAUGAACGCUGGCGGCGUGCCUAAUACAUGCAAGUCGAGCGAACAGACGAGGAGCUUGCUCCUCUGACGUUAGCGGCGGACGGGUGAGUAACACGUGGAUAACCUACCUAUAAGACUGGGAUAACUUCGGGAAAGCGGAGCUAAUACCGGAUAAUAUAUUGAACCGCAUGGUUCAAUAGUGAAAGACGGUUUUGCUGUCACUUAUAGAUGGAUCCGCGCCGCAUUAGCUAGUUGGUAAGGUAACGGCUUACCAAGGCAACGAUGCGUAGCCGACCUGAGAGGGUGAUCGGCCACACUGGAACUGAGACACGGUCCAGACUCCUACGGGAGGCAGCAGUAGGGAAUGUUCCGCAAUGGGCGAAAGCUUGACGGAGCAACGCCGCGUGAGUGAUGAAGGUCUUCGGAUCGUAAAACUCUGUUAUUAGGGAAGAACAAAUGUGUAAGUAACUAUGCACGUCUUGACGGUACCUAAUCAGAAAGCCACGGCUAACUACGUG
This 497-nucleotide ribosomal RNA is filed under the name uncultured bacterium. RNAcentral's name for it is "partial 16S ribosomal RNA". It matches the Rfam family "Bacterial small subunit ribosomal RNA", at positions 28 to 507 of the family's 1533-position model. The record is from RNAcentral.